RNAcentral lists this ribosomal RNA (252 nucleotides) under uncultured bacterium. RNAcentral's name for it is "partial 16S ribosomal RNA". It matches the Rfam family "Bacterial small subunit ribosomal RNA", at positions 524 to 776 of the family's 1533-position model. The record is from RNAcentral.
UACAGAGGGUGCAAGCGUUGUUCGGAAUUAUUGGCGUAAAGCGCGUGUAGGCGGCUUAGCAAGUCGGGCGUGAAAGCCCUCGGCUCAACCGAGGAAGUGCACCCGAAACUGCUGAGCUUGAGUGCCGGAGAGGAUGGCGGAAUACCCCAAGUAGAGGUGAAAUUCGUAGAUAUGGGGUGGAACACCGGUGGCGAAGGCGGCCAUCUGGACGGUAACUGACGCUGAGACGCGAAAGCGUGGGGAGCAAACAGG